CGGCUCAGUAACACGUGGAUAACCUACCCUUGAGACGGGGAUAAACCCGGGAAACUGGGUAUAAUACCCGAUAGAUCUCGACUGCUGGAAUGCAUCGAGCUUGAAAGCUCCGGCGCUCAAGGAUGGGUCUGCGGCCUAUCAGGUAGUAGUGGGUGUAGCGUACCUACUAGCCUACGACGGGUACGGGUUGUGAGAGCAAGAGCCCGGAGAUGGAUUCUGAGACACGAAUCCAGGCCCUACGGGGUGCAGCAGGCGCGAAAACUUUACAAUGCUGGAAACAGCGAUAAGGGGACCUCGAGUGCCAGGUUACAAAUCUGGCUGUCGUGAUGCCUAAAAAGCAUUGCAUAGUAAGGGCCGGGCAAGACCGGUGCCAGCCGCCGCGGUAACACCGGCGGCUCGAGUGGUAACCGUUAUUAUUGGGUCUAAAGGGUCUGUAGCCGGCCGGAUAAGUCUCUUGGGAAAUCUGGCAGCUUAACUGUCAGGCUUUCAGGAGAUACUGUCUGGCUCGAGGCCGGGAGGGGUGAGAGGUACUUCAGGGGUAGGGGUGAAAUCUUGUAAUCCUUGAAGGACCACCAGUGGCGAAGGCGUCUCACCAGAACGGACCUGACGGCAAGGGACGAAAGCUAGGGGCACGAACCGGAUUAGAUACCCGGGUAGUCCUAGCCGUAAACGAUACUCGCUAGGUGUCGGC
This 691-nucleotide ribosomal RNA is filed under the name uncultured Methanosaeta sp. Its description in RNAcentral is "bacterial SSU rRNA". It matches the Rfam family "Archaeal small subunit ribosomal RNA", at positions 83 to 778 of the family's 1478-position model. Lineage: Archaea; Methanobacteriati; Methanobacteriota; Methanomicrobia; Methanotrichales; Methanotrichaceae. The record is from RNAcentral.